CCAGAACCAGCGCCUCCAUUCCAACAGGAAGUGCAACACGCUCCAACAGGAAGUUCAACCAUUCCAACAGGAAGUUCAACCAUUCCAACAGGAAGUUCAACCAUUCCAACAGGAAGUGCAACACGCUCCGACAGGAAGCGCGACCCGUUACGGCAAGAAUCUAAACCAUCGCUCCAUCCACGCUUAGAUCUUUUCAUCUUACACUCGUUUAUCCUCCAUCUGUUCUUCCUCUGUUCUCGGGUUCUAUCUGUAGGUUCUGUAGAACCAGAACCGUCUGAACUUCAUUGUUUCUGUAAAACAUGAAAUCUGAACCUGGAUAUUUUCUGGAGGAGUGUUGGAUAUUUGAACUCAUUAAAGUGAUGAAUGUUGUUAAACUGGACCGGUUCUGACAACCCGACUCAUGAAGUACCGACAAACCCAACAGAGGUUCUAGGAACCUACGCUGGUGUUAGUUUGGGUUCAGAAUUGGAUCAGUUCUGCAGGAAAAAACAGAAACAAUUUGUCCCCUUUUCAUUUAAAUCUGAAAAUUUUCAGAAAAGAGAAAAAUUUUCUUCUCCAACCAGGAAACCCUGAAAACAUCCUGGAACAGAAACACACAAACACCAACAAGAGGGAAGAAAGCAGGAUGUUCCCAGAUCCAUGCCAGGAAACUCUGGAGUGGAGGAGGGAGCUGUUGCUAGGCAACCAGUAGGAAGUAUAAAGGUCCCGUUUCAGGAAAUGGCCUCCCAGUUUACCCAUUAAAACCGUCAACUGUCAAAUUUUACUUUCCCUUCAAGUGCAAAAUAAAAAGCCGUAGCAGUCGCUGAACUGAACCGGACUGGACCGGACCGGACCCUGCAGCUUCCAGAACAAACAGGUCCAACGGGUCGAAGAGCUGCAGCAGCUUUGGACCCGGCCCACUCCAUUGGAACCAGAACCAGUGGGACAGAACAAAGUGGGAGCUGUGGGAGCUGUGGGGCUCCGCCGACCCGCUGCGACAGCACCGCCUGCUUCCUGUCUUUGUUCAGAACCUUACCUCCACCGAUCGGACCAGAACCGGGCCCUGAAGCAGAACCGUCCCAGAAACUCCAACAGGAACCAACAUGCAGAAUCAGCCAGUGCAGAGCAGAACCUCUUCCUCUGGGUUCUGGACUCGGUCCCGGGACCGACCCGCUCUGUGUGUGUGUGUUUCCUGCCUAUCAGCUGAGGCGGCGCCGCGCGGUUUCCUCUGAGUGACGAUGAGGGGAAUUCCUGUAAGGCCCGCGGUGAGAGGGGGGCGGGCCCGGCAGAACCCGACCCGCAACGUCACUGAGAGCGGCUGAGGCACCUCCAGGGGAUCCUCCUCUUCCUCCUCCUCCUCCUCCUCCUCCCUCUGCUGCAGGAGGAUCCACGGCCGGGCCUGCUGCUUUCACUUCCCGCUCAGCUGCACAACUCAGAGUUUUCUUGAUUAUGCAACCGGCCCGAUCUGGCCAGAACCGGGCCAGAGCAGAUGAAUCAUCUCUGGGUCAUCAUCACGCUGCUGUAAAGUUACAAAACAAACUUUGCAACAUUUGCACAUAGUUGGAGGAUUACAGCAGAGCUGCACGAACCGGGCCGUGACUGGUUCUGGGUCACAGCAGAACUGUACCGCUGAAACACCUAAAGACAGUAUCGGCCGGGUUCUGCUGAUCCGAUGCAUCUGACAACCGAUCGAUAUCAGAGUGAAAAACUCACUGAUGAGCGUGAUCACAACGCCGAGGCAGAAAGACGACGGCAGUGACUGAAGAUUAGACCAAAAUAAUAUUAACAAUAUUAACAAGGUAGCAACUGAGGAGAGGAAACGUUGCUGCUGCGUAAACAGACUUCAAAAUAAGAGCAUGGAUAUAAGCAUCUAACGACUCAACAGAUGUUGAACUUUAUUCCACUGAAAGUUUAGAAAAUAGCCAAGUAAAUUAGAAUUUAUUCUGAAAAAUUAAUUUAAGGAAAGCUAAGUGUGCUAAAUGUUUUAAAAGUUAGCAAAAAUGCUAAACAAGACAUAAUGUCUGCUAUUAGCAGAUUAGCAAAAAUAUGCCCACUGCUGUCAGUUUCUAGGCCUCUAUUAGCAGGUUAAAGGUUAAAGGUCAUGACAGAGCAUUUAGAAAAACACUGACCCAGUGUUUGGAUCAGAACAUCCUGGACCCGGUUGGACCUGCAGCACAGUUUGUUUACAUCCUGAAUCCAUUGACGGGAUUUCUGGGUUGUUUAGCCGUUUAGUUCCAGAGAAGCUAAAUAUUUACGCCACACACGGCGACUGCUGACUGUGUGGAUCAUCGUCCCGCUCUGUAAUCAAGCAGCAGAGCCGGGUCAGCAGGAGAACCGGGCCGUGACUCAUCCAGCAGCUUAGCGCUGAGUCAGCGCAGCGGCUAAUGACGGCUGAGCCGCGCUGAGGGAGUCCAGCCGCUCCGUCAGGGUCACACUCAUUCAGCUCCCUGGACUCAGCAGAGUCCAGAACCAGGCCAGGACCAAAACCAGAACCAAAACCGGGAUCAAAACCAGAACCAGGCCAGGACCAGACCAAAACCGGGACCAAAGCCAGACCAAAACCAGGCCAGAUGGUUGGGAAUGCUUUCUGCUCCGACUUUUUCCACACGAACAGAAACCGGUUCAGUCGACUGACCGACAGGUUUAGGUUGACGUUUCACGCUAAAUAUUCAGUUAGCAAAUGAAGCUAAAUAUGGAGCUCAGGCUGAAUAUUUUGGUCGGAGCUAAAUAUUUAGCUAAUAUCCAAAUUCACUUGCCAAUAACUGGAAGUGGGCUACCAAAAUAAAAGCUUGGUUUUUAUGAACUCCUGA
This is a long non-coding RNA of Xiphophorus hellerii (green swordtail), 2789 nucleotides long. RefSeq lists it as uncharacterized. NCBI's taxonomy places the organism in Eukaryota, Metazoa, Chordata, Actinopteri, Cyprinodontiformes, Poeciliidae. The record is from RefSeq and is a predicted model, not a curated record. The transcript has 2 exons.